AUGAAUGGCUCUGGGCCCGUCCCCGUGGCGGACCCUGCGUUCAACUCCAUGUGUGAAUAUAUAUGUAUCCCAAUGUGCAACCCAAACUGCAGCGCAGGGGGCCAGCCUGUGUACGACUUCGUGUACCUCCCUGCAGGCCAUCCCUUAUGCAACUCCAUCUGCAACCAAGGCUUCAAUCCAAGCGUCAAUCCUGGUUUCAACCUGGGAUGCGAUCCUGGCUUCCGUGUCGUAUGCGAGACCGUGCCUCCCGCUACGUGCGCAACGAUGCCUCCGACCGUGUACGGCUCCAUGCCUGCCCCAACGUCCAACCCCGUGUGCCCCCCUAUGCCUCACGUGAUGUUCGAGACCGGUCCUGCUCCUGCGCACCAGCCCGGAGGCGGAGGGGGGCCGAUGUCCUACUCUGUCUCUGUCCCCGCGAAUAACGCGGUGAGUGCCCUGCUGACCCACUUCAUGGCUGGCUCCGGUCCCACUGCGGCAACCCAGGUGGUCCCUACCCAUAUGGCUGCUCCACCAUCCCAUCCGGUGUGCUCUCCGGUAGCUCAGGCCGUCGGCGGUCCCGUGCCGCCGCCAGCUCCCCUUUCGGUGCCUGCCGCCCCCAUCUCGCACAUCGUCUGCGGCUCCGCGCCCUCUCCCACCGCCCAGCCUCCGUGCGGCCCGACGGCCACCCUGCCCUGCCAACCCCCGAGUGCCCCAGUAGCCCGCGGCGUCUGUUCCCCAGGCCCCUGCCCAGCGGCUUCCCCGGUGCCGCGCUCCGCCACCCGUAGCGCCACCCCGGCAGGGCUGCAGGCGGGGAGCACCCCGCCGGCCCACUCGCUGUGCUCCCCGGGCCCCCGCCCCGUGGGACCCCCGGCAGCCCACUCGCUGUGCUCUCCGGCCCCCCGGCCGGUGGGACCCCCCGCGGCCCACUCGUUGUGCUCCCCCGCCUCCAUCUCUUUGGGGACUGCGGGGGCCCGCACCGCCAGCUCGCCCGCCCCUCGCCCCGAGGACUCUUCGGCAGCCUGCGUCCCCUGC
Molecule: long non-coding RNA, 1011 nt
Filed under: Accipiter nisus (Eurasian sparrowhawk)
Lineage: Eukaryota; Metazoa; Chordata; Aves; Accipitriformes; Accipitridae
Description: lncRNA (ENSANIG00000003490.1)
Source: RNAcentral